UGAGGCUNGAAAGCGUGGGUAGCGAACAGGAUUAGAUACCCUGGUAGUCCACGCCGUAAACGAUGAGUGCUAGGUGUUAGNCCCUUUCCGGGGCUUAGUGCCGGAGCUAACGCAAUAAGCACUCCGCCUGGGGAGUACGACCGCAAGGUUGAAACUCAAAGGAAUUGACGGGGGCCCGCACAAGCGGUGGAGCAUGUGGUUUAAUUCGAAGCAACGCGAAGAACCUUACCAGGUCUUGACAUCCCGAUGCUAUUCUUAGAGAUAGGAUGUUACUUCGGUACAUCGGAGACAGGUGGUGCAUGGUUGUCGUCAGCUCGUGUCGUGAGAUGUUGGGUUAAGUCCCGCAACGAGCGCAACCCUUAUUGUUAGUUGCCAUCAUUAAGUUGGGCACUCUAGCGAGACUGCCGGUAAUAAACCGGAGGAAGGUGGGGAUGAUGUCAAAUCAUCAUGCCCCUUAUGACCUGGGCUACACACGUGCUACAAUGGUCGGUACAACGAGUUGCGAGCCGGUGACGGCAAGCUAAUCUCUGAAAGCCGAUCUCAGUUCGGAUUGGAGGCUGCAACUCGCCUCCAUGAAGUCGGAAUCGCUAGUAAUCGCGGAUCAGCACGCCGCGGUGAAUACGUUCCCGGGCCUUGUACACACCG
This 645-nucleotide ribosomal RNA is filed under the name uncultured bacterium. RNAcentral's name for it is "bacterial SSU rRNA". It matches the Rfam family "Bacterial small subunit ribosomal RNA", at positions 747 to 1392 of the family's 1533-position model. The record is from RNAcentral.